UAAUACGAAGGGGGCUAGCGUUGCUCGGAAUCACUGGGCGUAAAGCGCACGUAGGCGGCUUUCUAAGUCAGGGGUGAAAUCCUGGAGCUCAACUCCAGAACUGCCUUUGAUACUGGAGAGCUUGAGUUCGGGAGAGGUGAGUGGAACUGCGAGUGUAGAGGUGAAAUUCGUAGAUAUUCGCAAGAACACCAGUGGCGAAGGCGGCUCACUGGCCCGAUACUGACGCUGAGGUGCGAAAGCGUGGGGAGCAAACAGG
This 256-nucleotide ribosomal RNA is filed under the name uncultured bacterium. RNAcentral describes it as "partial 16S ribosomal RNA". It matches the Rfam family "Bacterial small subunit ribosomal RNA", at positions 521 to 776 of the family's 1533-position model. The record is from RNAcentral.